GGCCCUCCGCUUAUAAAAAGAAAGAAAGGGAAUCUCUAGGUAAGUCUUUAAAAAUAUACAAUAGAGGUCACCAUCUUAUUCUUCUUCCUUCCUUUGUUUCUAAUUUUCAGCUGACUUGACCGUCAGAGGGCCCUCGCUAGACACUCUCUGACAAAUGGACUUGUUUACCGGUAUCAAUUGAAGUCCUCAUCUUGAAGACCGGUGUUUGUCCCUGUCCCUAAGUCGAUCACGAUCCAACUAGGAAUCAAGGGCAUCAUAUUGGCGCUAGAGGAAGAGCCCCACCCAUAAGCUU
This 292-nucleotide long non-coding RNA is filed under the name Elaeis guineensis (African oil palm). Its description in RNAcentral is "long non-coding RNA (EGUI_LNC002802)". Lineage: Eukaryota; Viridiplantae; Streptophyta; Magnoliopsida; Arecales; Arecaceae. The record is from RNAcentral.